GUGGAAGCAAAAAGUCACAAAGGGAACAGAGAAGGACCAGUGUAGGGUCCAGGACCUCCUGGAAAGGACAAUGGGAGACUGUCCAGAUCUUCUUUGAGCCCAGCCUGGACAAAAUGACAAACAGUAUGAAAAGGAUGG
Molecule: long non-coding RNA, 138 nt
Organism: Gorilla gorilla gorilla (western lowland gorilla)
Lineage: Eukaryota; Metazoa; Chordata; Mammalia; Primates; Hominidae
Exons: 3
Source: RefSeq, a predicted model, not a curated record